This 497-nucleotide ribosomal RNA is filed under the name uncultured bacterium. RNAcentral's name for it is "partial 16S ribosomal RNA". It matches the Rfam family "Bacterial small subunit ribosomal RNA", at positions 28 to 507 of the family's 1533-position model. The record is from RNAcentral.
GACGAACGCUGGCGGCGUGCCUAAUACAUGCAAGUUGAGCGCUGAAGGUUGGUACUUGUACCAACUGGAUGAGCAGCGAACGGGUGAGUAACGCGUGGGUAAUCUGCCUUUGAGCGGGGGACAACAUUUGGAAACGAAUGCUAAUACCGCAUAAAAACUUUAAACACAAGUUUUAAGUUUGAAAGAUGCAAUUGCAUCACUCAAAGAUGAUCCCGCGUUGUAUUAGCUAGUUGGUGAGGUAAAGGCUCACCAAGGCGAUGAUACAUAGCCGACCUGAGAGGGUGAUCGGCCACAUUGGGACGGAGAAACGGCCCAAAAUCCGACGGGAGGCAGCAGGAGGGAAUCUUCGGCAAUGGACGAAAGUCUGACCGAGCAACGCCGCGGGAGUGAAGAAGGUUUUCGGAUCGUAAAACUCUGUUGGUAGAGAAGAACGUUGGUGAGAGUGGAAAGCUCAUCAAGUGACGGUAACUACACAGAAAGGGACGGCUAACUACGUG